GUGAGCCAAGAUCACACCAUUGCACUCCAGCCUAGGCAUGUUUAUGCAAAUACCGUAUACGUGAUAAACGUCCCUACAACAUGAUCUUUGGAAUGAACUAAGACAAAGGAAACUCUGAGGAAGGACCAUGGCCUGAGAGGUGGAAUUCAUCCUUCCGAGGACUGAGAUGAGGACGGAAAAUGAACCAUCGGGGGGAUUGACGGUGAAGAUGCUAAUACCUGCCCAGCAUCGACCCUAGUGCGGGUCCCAAGACCAUCCCCCUGUGCAGGCUCCACCACCGCUGUGCUAACUGGACCGCGGCAGAACAGUGUGGGUGUGUGCCAGGUUCCUGCUGGGCCCUGCAGCUCCUCCCCCCAGCCCCAUGUGAUGUGCCCCUGGCCAUUGACACUCAGUUCGAGGGAAGGCACUGGGGUGUACACUCAAAGACCUAAACCCAGGGUGGGUGCGGUGG
This 451-nucleotide long non-coding RNA is filed under the name Homo sapiens (human). RNAcentral describes it as "HSALNT0353762". The record is from RNAcentral. Lineage: Eukaryota; Metazoa; Chordata; Mammalia; Primates; Hominidae.